GAAUUAAAGAAGGCAGUCCUUGAAGAUUUGGUGCGUCUGGGCAAGGCUAGUGGCCUCCACUCUUUUGAGCAGGUGAAGAACAUCUACAUCCACAACGAGAUGUUCUCCAUUGAAAACGGCCUCCUGACUCCAACACUAAAGGCCAAGAGACCAGAGCUAAAGGAGUUCUUCAAGGGGAAGAUUGACCAGCUCUACAGCAGCAUCUCCAUGUGAAGUCCGGCAGACCUCGUUUUCCUUCAAGCAUCUUAGCACUAAGAGCUACUUUGACCAUUGACCUGGGAUGAAGAUGUGACCUUAGGCUUAACAUGCUUUGGGAAAGCAAGCCAAACCUGGCCGUACUAUGGGAGAUUUAACAUACCUAAAUAAAACAAAUCAAAGAAAUAAAAUGAAAUACAUUACACAUUGUUAUGUGUAUUUCCUUUUUAUGUAUGCAUUUAUUGUGUCAUAAUUACAUUAAAGCAUAUGUUCAAAGGAAAAUGAUUUAGCUUUAAUUGUUUUUCAUUGUGACAUGACUUUUCCAUGCCGCAUUAAAAACAAAUCACAAAAACAAAAAUCACAAAAAUGAUGCGUUUUAGUGUUGUCCAGCAGAGACCAGCAGAGACCUGCCAAUAGUACAGCAAACACAAAGCAUGGAGUGCAAAGGAGCUUUGUAAUUUUUUUAAAUAGUGACGCAUUGCCAAUGCCAAAGUCAGGGGGGAAAAAAAAAAAUUCCAAUCACAGCUUUGGGGAAAGGGCCCACCAGCACAGUGUUGGCAGCCAUGACAGACAGCCUUUCACAUUAAAACUGUUUCCUGUGGGCUAGCUGGCAAGAGGGGAACUACUGUUGACUGUACAUUUAGUCUCAUUUGUGAUUGACUGUCUGGUAUUUUAAGGUGCUGUAGGCGGCUUGGUAACUUGGUAAGUGGUGACAGGUAAUUAGUUUGCGUGAACGCUGAGUGGUUUAAUAGAGGAGGAUAAGCUAUUGCUAGUAGAUGUAGGCCUACCUGUAAGUUAUUUAUUUUUAUUUUCAAGGGAUAAGAUUAUAAACCCUGUACCUGGGCCCCCUUCCUCAGGCUGUGAUUGGCCAGUUGGUUGUUUUUCAUUUUGGCCUUGACAAUUGACAAAGCUCCCUUGCAACUCCUCAUAAAAACUAAUGACUAAUAAAGUGCUUUGCAUUUAGCAUUCAAGCUGUUCUCAGCUGGACAGCCCUGAAAUGUAAUAGACCAAUUCAUUUAGUUAUUAAAGUAAAAUAAUUGUCCUUUUAAGAUAUGUUUUAUUUAAUUAUGACAUACUAAAUGCAUUCUUUGUUUGAUUUGUUUUUAUUUAGGCAUUUUAAAUUGUCCACACAUUGCUACCUGCUAUCCACCCAAACACACCGUCAAAUGCUCCGUCCCCAGCACCAGAAACUCAUCAGCACUUUUAUGUUGAACAAUCCAUUCCUAUCUCCUGCUUCUCUCCUCCAUCAGUUUAAACCUACCAGCCAAACAAGACCUAAAAUCCACAGUUGUACGACAGCAAGUGUGAUGUCUUUGUGUAUAGUGUAGCUCAAGGAGAUGUCUAGAUUUGUGACAAUACUGAUACCUUGUGGGACAGAAAAUUACUUACUAGAAAACAGCAUAUUCACAUUUGAUUGAACAAGCUGCUGACAGCAGUGCCAUUAACCAGGGCCUGAUAAAUCUCCCCUGAUCUGACACAACCAGGAUUAAACUGGUUGUGUCAACCCAGACAACCCAGACAUCGUGCAGUUAGACCAAAAAACACAUCCUCCUGUUUGAGGUCUAAAUUAAGAUAAGGUAAGGAGUGUAGCCUGCCUUAAAAAGCAUUGCCACACGGUUCUAUGUGGAGCAUCUGAAUGUUUGAGCCACAUCCAAAUCGCAGUUUAUGUCACAUAUUCACACAUUCAUGGCUUCGAGACUGCGUUCAACAAUUCAGCAUGCAUGGACUGGCCGACUGUAAUAAUCAUCAAGGUUCACACUCCGCAGUUGGCUCUAUCACAACUUUCUUUACAUCCAUCUUUCCAAAAAGAGUGCAGGUAAAAGGGAAAAAAAGAAAUAAUGCAAAACCAGGGCUCAGGGCAAUGCAUGCAGUUUGCCCUGCAAUGCUGGGACCGUUAGCAUUUGACUUGACGAGUAUUUCUUUGUGGCCAUUAAUAGCAGGUUGUAUGCAGCUGCCCACAGCCACUGCUGCUAGCGCAAGGCUUUGUAAUGUAGGCAGAGCUGGUAAAUUCCACUCACUGAAGGAAAAUAGACCAAUCAUCAACUUUUAAACAAAAUCAACACGUUUUUCGGAGGGUUUACACAUAGAAGUAAUGUAUAGGCUUUUUAAGUUGAUUACCGUCCCAAAGCAUAAACAAUGUGGAUGUACAUAAAUGAGGACAGCUAGAUGUAAGCAUAUUUAUUAAAUCAAUGGUUUGAAUGGA
Micropterus dolomieu (smallmouth bass) is the source of this 2398-nucleotide long non-coding RNA. RefSeq lists it as uncharacterized. The transcript is spliced from 2 exons. The record is from RefSeq and is a predicted model, not a curated record. Lineage: Eukaryota; Metazoa; Chordata; Actinopteri; Centrarchiformes; Centrarchidae.